RNAcentral lists this ribosomal RNA (795 nucleotides) under uncultured bacterium. Its description in RNAcentral is "bacterial SSU rRNA". It matches the Rfam family "Bacterial small subunit ribosomal RNA", at positions 62 to 886 of the family's 1533-position model. The record is from RNAcentral.
UCGAACGAGAAAGCCGGAGCAAUCUGGUGAGUAAAGUGGCGUACGGGUGAGUAACACGUGGAUGAUCUACCUUUUAGUGAGGAAUAACCAUGGGAAACCGUGGCUAAUACCGCAUAAGCUCGAGAGAGGAAAGUCGCAAGACGCUGAAAGAGGAGUCCGCGGCCGAUUAGCUAGUUGGCAGGGUAAAAGCCUACCAAGGCAAAGAUCGGUAGCCGGCCUGAGAGGGCACACGGCCACACUGGCACUGAAACACGGGCCAGACUCCUACGGGAGGCAGCAGUGGGGAAUCUUGCACAAUGGGGGAAACCCUGAUGCAGCGACGCCGCGUGAGCGAUGAAGCCCUUCGGGGUGUAAAGCUCUUUCGUCAGGGAAGAUUAUGACGGUACCUGGAGAAGCAGCUGCGGCUAACUACGUGCCAGCAGCCGCGGUAAUACGUAGGCAGCGAGCGUUGUUCGGAGUUACUGGGCGUAAAGGGUGUGUAGGCGGUUGUUUAAGUUUGGUGUGAAAUCUCCCGGCUUAACUGGGAGGGUGCGCCGAAUACUGAAUGACUUCGAGUGCGGGAGAGGAAAGUGGAAUUCCUGGUGUAGCGGUGAAAUGCGUAGAUAUCAGGAGGAACACCGGUGGUGUAGACGGCUUUCUGGACCGUAACUGACGCUGAGACACGAAAGCGUGGGUAGCAAACAGGAUUAGAUACCCUGGUAGUCCACGCCCUAAACGAUGCAUAUUUGGGUGUGGGCAGUUCAUUCUGUCCGUGCCGGAGCUAACGCGUUAAAUAUGCCGCCUGGGGAGUACAGU